Molecule: long non-coding RNA, 745 nt
Filed under: Olea europaea subsp. europaea
Lineage: Eukaryota; Viridiplantae; Streptophyta; Magnoliopsida; Lamiales; Oleaceae
Source: RNAcentral
UAAAUUUGCAGGAGCAAACAGAAACACAACACCGCCUAAGGCCGAGCGCUUCCCUCGCGAAAGAAGAGGUGGCGUGGUAUUCCACGAGAGAGGUUUUUAUAAAUCGUGGCGCACGUUAGUGCGAUGGGCGUACAUUAAUUCAAUUGGGGACUCCAUGGCCGCUGUGCUGCUUCAGUUUGCAGCCACAGCGAGGGGAUUGCCCUAUAUUUUCGCAAUUUUCCUUUUUAUUUAUUUAUUAUAAUUAUAAUUAUUAUUAAUUUUUUCUGUUCUUGUUUUACAAGAUUCGUCUUGCUGGAAAAACUAUUGGUUUAUUUAUUUCCUUUUUUUUGUAAUUGUAUAUAUUUUUUAGGUUUAUCUUUUCUUCUAUCCCCAAAUAAUCAUUCCGUAGCUUUUCACUUUGAUAUAGAAUUUUCAAUUACGAUGAAGGAUGAAUAUAAAUUUAUUAAUCAUAUCGCGAGAUGAUUCACUGCAUAUAAUGAUUUUGUACUUCAGGAUUAAGAAGAUAUCAGUUGUAGCGUAAAAUAGAGAUUUAGAAUUUCAAAAUGGCCGGAAACCUCCCCAUGGUCAGAUGCGAUAGAGAUGUAAGUUGCAUUUUUUAGUAGUAAUGAAAAUCUUUUUAUUUUCUUUACUUUUUUUAAGAGGCAAAAGGUGAGUUUAGAUCUCUGAGGAUUUAGAUAUAUGGGAAUGUAAAUGAGGAUGUUGAAAAUAUUAAUAUAUACUCAAUUUUAAAGGAGAUGCUCUUAUA